Octodon degus (degu) is the source of this 1491-nucleotide RNA transcript. It is a transcript of the gene named hepatoma-derived growth factor-related protein 2 pseudogene, with no coding region annotated. The transcript has a single exon. The record is from RefSeq and is a predicted model, not a curated record. NCBI's taxonomy places the organism in Eukaryota, Metazoa, Chordata, Mammalia, Rodentia, Octodontidae.
AUGCCGCACGCCUUCAAGCCCUGGGAUUUAGUAUUCGCCAAGAUGAAGGGCUAUCCGCACUGGCCCGCCCGGAUUGACGAUAUUGCCGAUGGUGCCGUGAAGCCCCCACCCAACAAAUAUCCCAUCUUCUUCUUUGGUACACACGAAACAGCCUUCUUGGGACCCAAGGACCUGUUCCCAUAUGACAAGUGCAAAGAUAAGUAUGGGAAACCCAACAAGAGGAAAGGCUUCAAUGAAGGUCUCUGGGAGAUCCAGAACAACCCUCACGCCAGCUACAGUGCCCCUCCGCCACUGAGCUCUUCUGAGAGCGAGGCCCCCGAGGCUGAGCCUGCGGGUGGCAGCAACGCUGAGGAGGACGAGGAGGACUGAGGGGUCAUGGCCGUCACAGCUGUUACUGCCGCAGCCGCCAGCGACAGGAUGGAGAGUGACUCAGACUCUGAUAAAAGCAGCGACAACAGCGGUCUGAAACGGAAGACGUCGGCACUGAAGAUGUCAGUCUCCAAGCGAGCUCGGAAAGCUUCCAGCGACCUGGAGCAAGCCAGCGUGUCGCCCUCUGAAGAGGAGAACUCGGAGAGUUCGUCCGAGUCUGAGAAGACCAGUGACCAAGACUUCACCCCUGAAAAGAAAGCUGUGGUCCGGGCGCCACGGCGGGCCCCCCUGGGUGGACGGAAGAAGAAGAAGGUGCUGUCAGCUUCCGACUCAGACUCCAAAGCGGAUUCAGAUGGGCCCAAGGAGGAGCCGGUGCCUGUGGCCAGGUCGGCGUCUUCCUCCUCCUCUUCCUCCUCCUCUUCCUCCUCCUCUGACUCCGAUGUGUCUAUCAAGAAACCUCCUCGGGGCAGAAAGCCAGCUGAGAAGCCUCCCCCAAAGCCCCGAGGACGGAAACCAAAGCUUGAGCGGCCACCUUCCACCUCCAGCAGCGACAGUGACAGUGAUGAGGUGGACCGCAUCAGUGAGUGGAAGCGGCGGGAUGAGGAGCGGCGGCGGGAGCUGGAGGCCCGGAGGCGGCGGGAGCAGGAAGAGGAGCUGCGGCGGCUGCGGGAGCAGGAGAAGGAGGAGAAGGAGCGGCGGCGGGAGCGGGCUGAGCUCGGGGAGGCUGAGAGGGCCAGCGGCGGCAGCAGUGGGGACGAGCUCAGGGAGGACGAUGAGCCCGUCAGGAAGCGGGGCCGCAAGGGCCGGGGCCGAGGGCCACCCUCCUCCUCUGACUCAGAGCCCGAAGGGGACCUGGAGAGAGAGGGAAAGAAAUCCGCCAAGAAGUUGCAAGCACAGAGCACGGAGCCCACUUGGAAGGUCAGCCAGAAGGAGAAGAGAGGGCGGCCUGAGGAGAAGCCCCGGGCCAGGCCGGUGAAGGUAGAACGGACCCGGAAGCGGUCAGAAGGGCCCCCGCUGGACAGGAAGGUGGAGAAGAAGAAAGAACCUUCUGUGGAAGAGAAGUUGCAGAAGCUGCACAGUGAGAUCAAGUUUGCUCUGAAGGUCGACAACCCGGAUGUGAAG